Molecule: ribosomal RNA, 460 nt
Filed under: uncultured bacterium
Lineage: Bacteria
Description: partial 16S ribosomal RNA
Rfam family: Bacterial small subunit ribosomal RNA
Source: RNAcentral
CCUACGGGUGGCAGCAGUGAGGAAUAUUGGUCAAUGGACGAGAGUCUGAACCAGCCAAGUAGCGUGAAGGAUGACUGCCCUAUGGGUUGUAAACUUCCUUUAUAUGGGAAUAAAAUGUUCCACGUGUGGGAUUUUGUAUGUACCAUAUGAAUAAGGAUCGGCUAACUCCGUGCCAGCAGCCGCGGUAAUACGGAGGAUACGAGCGUUAUCCGGAUUUAUUGGGUUUAAAGGGAGCGUAGGUGGAUUGUUAAGUCAGUUGUGAAAGUUUGCGGCUCAACCGUAAAAUUGCAGUUGAAACUGGCAGUCUUGAGUACAGUAGAGGUGGGCGGAAUUCGUGGUGUAGCGGUGAAAUGCUUAGAUAUCACGAAGAACUCCGAUUGCGAAGGCAGUUCACUGGACUGCAACUGACACUGAGGCUCGAAAGUGUGGGUAUCAAACAGGAUUAGAUACCCGAGUAGUC